This 481-nucleotide ribosomal RNA is filed under the name uncultured bacterium. RNAcentral's name for it is "partial 16S ribosomal RNA". It matches the Rfam family "Bacterial small subunit ribosomal RNA", at positions 30 to 506 of the family's 1533-position model. The record is from RNAcentral.
AUUGAACGCUGGCGGCAUGCUUUACACAUGCAAGUCGAACGGUAACAGGCCGCAAGGUGCUGACGAGUGGCGAACGGGUGAGUAAUGCAUCGGAACGUGCCCAGUCGUGGGGGAUAACUACUCGAAAGAGUAGCUAAUACCGCAUACGAUCUAUUGAUGAAAGCGGGGGACCGUAAGACCUCGCGCGAUUGGAGCGGCCGAUGUCAGAUUAGGUAGUUGGUGGGGUAAAGGCUCACCAAGCCAACGAUCUGUAGCUGGUCUGAGAGGACGACCAGCCACACUGGGACUGAGACACGGCCCAGAAUCCUACGGGAGGCAGCAGUGGGGAAUUUUGGACAAUGGGCGCAAGCCUGAUCCAGCAAUGCCGCGUGCAGGAAGAAGGCCUUCGGGUUGUAAACUGCUUUUGUACGGAACGAAACGGCUCUGGUUAAUACCCGGGGCUAAUGACGGUACCGUAAGAAUAAGCACCGGCUAACUACGU